ACAUGCAAGUCGAGGGGUAACAGGGUAGCAAUACCGCUGACGACCGGCGCACGGGUGAGUAACGCGUAUGCAACCUGCCUAUAACUGGGGAAUAGCUCCCUGAAAGGGGAAUUAACACCGCAUAACACUAUUGAUUCGCAUGGAUUAGUAGUUAAAUGUAGCGAUACAGGUUAUAGAUGGGCAUGCGUGACAUUAGCUAGUUGGUGAGGUAACGGCUCACCAAGGCUACGAUGUCUAGGGGUUCUGAGAGGAAGGUCCCCCCACACUGGUACUGAGACACGGACCAGACUCCUACGGGAGGCAGCAGUGAGGAAUAUUGGUCAAUGGGCGCAAGCCUGAACCAGCCAUGUCGCGUGCAGGAAGACUGCCCUAUGGGUUGUAAACUGCUUUUAUAGUAGAAGAGACACAUCUACGUGUAGAUGUCUGCCAGUAUACUAUGAAUAAGCAUCGGCUAACUCCGUGCCAGCCGCGGC
RNAcentral lists this ribosomal RNA (473 nucleotides) under uncultured bacterium. RNAcentral describes it as "bacterial SSU rRNA". It matches the Rfam family "Bacterial small subunit ribosomal RNA", at positions 53 to 518 of the family's 1533-position model. The record is from RNAcentral.